GAUGAACGCUAGCGACAGGCCUAACACAUGCAAGUCGAGGGGCAGCACAUGCGUAGCAAUACAAUGGUGGCGACCGGCGCACGGGUGAGUAACACGUAUGCAACCUGCCUGUAAGAGGGGAAUAACCCGGAGAAAUUCGGACUAAUACCGCAUAAUACCACGAGACUGCAUGGUUUUGUGGUUAAACAUUUAUGGCUUACAGAUGGGCAUGCGUAUGAUUAGCUAGUUGGUGAGGUAACGGCUCACCAAGGCAACGAUCAUUAGGGGUUCUGAGAGGAAGGUCCCCCACACUGGUACUGAGACACGGACCAGACUCCUACGGGUGGCAG
RNAcentral lists this ribosomal RNA (329 nucleotides) under uncultured Bacteroidota bacterium. Its description in RNAcentral is "bacterial SSU rRNA". It matches the Rfam family "Bacterial small subunit ribosomal RNA", at positions 28 to 351 of the family's 1533-position model. Lineage: Bacteria; Pseudomonadati; Bacteroidota. The record is from RNAcentral.